UAGGGAAUCUUCCACAAUGGACGCAAGUCUGAUGGAGCAACGCCGCGUGAGUGAAGAAGGGUUUCGGCUCGUAAAGUUCUGUUGUUAAAGAAGAACGAGGGUAAGAGUAACUGUUUACCCAGUGACGGUAUUUAACCAGAAAGCCACGGCUAACUACGUGCCAG
This 164-nucleotide ribosomal RNA is filed under the name uncultured bacterium. RNAcentral's name for it is "partial 16S rRNA". It matches the Rfam family "Bacterial small subunit ribosomal RNA", at positions 355 to 511 of the family's 1533-position model. The record is from RNAcentral.